RNAcentral lists this ribosomal RNA (355 nucleotides) under uncultured bacterium. RNAcentral's name for it is "bacterial SSU rRNA". It matches the Rfam family "Bacterial small subunit ribosomal RNA", at positions 8 to 349 of the family's 1533-position model. The record is from RNAcentral.
AGAGUUUGAUCCUGGCUCAGGAUGAACGCUAGCUACAGGCUUAACACAUGCAAGUCGAGGGGAAACGACAUCGAAAGCUUGCUUUUGAUGGGCGUCGACCGGCGCACGGGUGAGUAACGCGUAUCCAACCUGCCCAUCACUUGGGGAUAACCUUGCGAAAGUAAGACUAAUACCCAAUGACGUCUCUAGAAGACAUCUGAAAGAGAUUAAAGAUUUAUCGGUGAUGGAUGGGGAUGCGUCUGAUUAGCUUGUUGGCGGGGUAACGGCCCACCGAAGGCGACGAUCGAGUAGGGGUUCUGAGAGGAAGGUCCCCCANAUUGGAACUGAGACACGGUCCAAACUCCGUACGGGAGCA